UAUGUAAAAACCUCAUAAAUUUUCUAGGAGUAGAAAUUGGAGACGGAAAAAUUAAAUUACAACCUCACAUAGCAAAGAAAGUCCUAGACAUGCCAGACAAAUUAGACAAAACUAAAGAUUUACAAAAAAUUCUAGGGAUUUUAAAUUAUGCAAGGAAUUUUAUAAAAAACCUAGGAAAAAUAGUAGGACCCCUAUAUUCAAAAACAGGAACUAAUGGACAAAAGACAUUCAACACGGAAGAUAUAAAGUUAGUGCAAAAACUCAAACAUAUGGUUAGAACCAUACCAGACUUAUCACUCCCAUUAGAAACUGACUACCCAAUAGUCAAAACGUACGAAAGUCUAGAAGGGUGGGGAGCAGUACUUAAAACAAGAAAAAAUAAGUACGGAGACAAAAAAGAUGAAAGAAUCUACGCCUACCAAAGUGGAAAAUAUAUAGAAAAGGGGAACAUAAAUAGCAUAGACGCAGAAAUAUUAGCGGUAAUCUACGACCUAAAUAGUUUUAAACUAUAUAUUAUCAAUAAAAAGAAAAUUUUGGUAAGAACUGAUUGCGAAGCUAUUGUAAAAUAUCAUCAAAUCAUAGAUGGAAAAAGUAGUAGUAAAAGAAGAUGGUUAAAUUUUUUAGAUGCCACGUCAAUAUAUAAUAAUAUAUCCCUGGAACAUAUAAAAGGGAAAGAUAAUUCGUAAGCAGACUAAUGAAGACUAAUUGUUUUUUUCCAGCAUGAAUAGAGGAGAAGACAAAGCCUGGGCCUCCAGCUCAAGCAGCACUACAGACGGAAUAGACAAAGACUUAUAGCUCCAGACUUUACUAAAAAAUACCUUGUUCAAAUCCCAGACGAAAUUAAAUGAAGCAAGAUUGAACACCCCAAGCAUUGAGAGACUGUAUUUCAUAAAACAAAAUUAUAUUUUACCCCAAUCCAACUUAAGCUUCAGAAUAAAGCCAGAAUCAAAGAUAGAUAGACUACAUAGAUGUUUGAUAGACAAUUUAUGGAUAGCAUAUAACAAAGUGCCACGAGACAAUAGUUACUCCAUUUCGGUAAUGAAUUCGCUAAGCCAUUAUUUUACAAAAAAAAAUAAUGACAAAAAAUUCAAGUUUUAUGUGGUAGUCUAAGGAAGACUGGCCGGAAUUUUUCAGACAGGGACAAAAGUAAUAGACUCAAUAAAAGAUUUUGCCACUCCCCUCUUCAAAGGAUUCAAUGACCUAAACGAAGCUUUGGAUUACGCAAGGGGAACUCUUUGACCAAAUUAUUUUCUAAGUCCAGCGUUAAGUCAAAUCACAAAUCCUUUCCCACAAUAUAAUAUCCAGAAAGACACAGACAAAAUAAUAUUUUGCGACCACUGCUCUACAAUGACUGACGGCUUCAAAAGCUAAAACCAGACCAUCGAGAGGCACGGAAAAGAAAAAGAAAAAAUGACGCAACACAUCUACCUUUUACAAGAAAUAAUCAAAAUUUUACAUUUCGAAAUCAAUCAGAACCAACCAUUACAAACAGAAGAUCAUCCAAAAGAACAAAGGAGUUCUCCAUCUUGGUCUAAAAUGAAUAAGAAAGGUGUACAUUCCCCAAUGAAUGUAGAAGAAGCUACUGUACCAGCUAAAGGUACAACUAGUCCCGUUCAAACAGUAGCGGGUAAAGACUUAUCAAAUUCGUUGAUGGCUGACACUUUGCCAAAAAGUGUAAGAAUAUUACCAACAAGCUUCAAUAUAACAAGAACUAUAGAACAGGGAAAAAGGACUAAAGGAUUUUUGUUAAAAAGAAAGAGAGACAAAAGAAUUGAACAAAUGAUACAAAAUUCCCUCCAUAAGUAACUUAGUGAAAAUACCAAAGAAGUCAUAAGUGAAAAUCCAAAACCCGAACAAGAAAUUCCAGACACGGAAUAUUCAGGAAGUAACGAUUACAGAAGUGAAUACAAUCCAUCCCAAGAACAAUUUACCCAAGACCCAAACGAAGACGACGACUCGGGGAUGAGUUUUAACGCCAUAGCAUUACACAACUUAGACAAGUAGAAAAUACGUAAGCAAUGACGAAACAAGAGAACAAACAAAGAAAGAUAGGUAAGCCAUGACAUAAUACACCACUAGUCUAAAGUUGACAAAGAAAGAGGACAAAAAAAUUUAAAACGUUUUUCCAAAGCCAUGUGAUAAUGGGGCCUAAAGAGCACCCGGCAAGUAAAAGAAAGACUAUUCAACAUUUUGAAAUCCGAAUUUCAAAUACGGAGAAAGCCAUCCUCGCCUAUAAAUACUAAACCAUUUACAAGAAGAAGGUAGAGAGAAAGAGCAAGCGGAGCAUAGCAAAGAAGAAGAAUUAGUUUUAAGAGUUAGCUUUACAUAUUUCCCUUCCCUUCAUAAAAAAAAAGUGAAGUGAGUUUGUAAAAAGAGUGAGUAUUUAGUUUUUGAAGUAGCUGCAAAGUCACUCGGGGACUCCCUAAAGGGAAACCUCUCUUCGACCACUAUCAAUGUAAGUAGUUAUGCAUUUUCUAGAUCUUAGUAGUUUCUCACAGUCUAUGUAUAUUGAUAUUAUGUACUAUAGUACUGUUGUUAUGAUUAUAAUAAUAUAUCCCUGGAACAUAUAAAAGGGAAAGAUAAUUCGUAAGCAGACUCAUGAAGACUAAUUGUUUAUUUUUAGCAUGAGUACAAGGAAAGACAAAGCCAGGACCUCCAGCUCAAGCAACACUACAGACAGAAUAGACAAAGACUUAUAUCUCCAGACUUUACUAAAGAAUACCUUGUUCAAACCCCAGACAAAAUUAAAUGAAGCAUGAUAGAACACUCCAAGCAUUGAGAGACUGCAUUUCGGAAGACAAAAUUUAAUAUUUUACCCCCAAACGAUCUUAAGUUUCAGAAUAAAGCUAGAAUCAAAGAUAGAUAGACCACAGAGAUGUUUGAUAGACAAUUUAUGGAUAGCAUAUAACAAAGUCGCCACGAGACAAUAGUUACUUCAUUUCGAUAAUGAAUUCGCUAAGCCAUUAUUUUACAGAAAAAAAUGAAGACAAAAAAUUCAAGUUUUAUGUGGUAGUCCAAGGAAGACUAGCCGGAAUUUUUCAGACAUGGGCAGAAGUAAUAGACUCAAUAAAAGACUUUCCCACUCCCCUCUUCAAAGGAUUCAAUGACCUAAAUGAAGCCAUGGAUUACGCAAGGGGAACUCUUGGACCAAAUUAUUUUCUAAGUCCAGCAUUAAGACAAAUCACAAAUCCUUUUUCCCACAAUAUAAUAUCCAAAAAGACACAGACAAAAUAAUAUUUUACGACCACUGCUCUACAAUGAUAGACGGCUUCAAAAGACAAAACUAGACCAUCGAGAGGCUGGAAAAAGAAAAAAUGACGCAACACAUCUACCUUUUACAAGAAAGAAUCAAAAUUUUACAUUUCGAAAUCAAUCAGACCCAACCAUUACAAACAAAAGAUCAUCCAAAAGAACAAAUGAGUUCUCCAUCUCGGUCUAAAAUGGAUAAGAAGGGUGUACAUUGCCCAAAUAUUGUAGAAGAAGCUACUGCAGCAGCUAAAGGUACAGCUAGUCCCGUUCAAACGGUAGCGGGUAAAGACUUAUCAAAUCCGUUGAUGGCUGACACUUUGCCAAAAAGUGUAAGAAUAUUACCAGCUACUUUUAAUAUAACAAGAACUACAUAAUAGGGAAAAAGGACUAAAGGAUUCUUGUUAAAAAAAAGAAAGACAAAAGAAUUGAACAAAUGAUACAAAAUUCACUCAAGAAGUUACUUAGUGAAAAGACCAAAGAAGUCAUAAGUGAAAAUCCAAAAUCUGAACCAGAAACUCCAGACACGAAAUAUUCAGGAAGUAACGAUUACGGAAGUGAAUACAAUCCAUCCCUAGAAGAAUUUUCCCAAGACCCAAACGAAGACGACGACUCAGGGAUGAGUUUCGACUUCAUAGCGUUACACAACUUAGACACAUAGAAAAUACGUAAGCAAUGAUGAAUCAAGAGAAAAUACAAAGAAAUAUAGGUAAUCCAUGACGUAAUACACCACUAGUCUAAAGCUGACAAAGAAAGAGGACAAAAAAUUUUGAAACGGUUUUUCAAAGUCAUGUGACGAUGGGACCCAAAGAGCACCUGGCAGGUAAAAGAAAGACUAUUCGACAUUUUGAAAUCCGAAUUUUAAAUCCGGAGAAAGCCAUCCUCGCCUAUAAAUACUAAAUCAUUUGCGAGAAGAAGGUAGAGAGCAAGAGAAAGCGGAGCAUAGCAAAGAAGAAGAAUUAGUUUUAAGAGUUAGCUUUACAUAUUUCCCUUCCCUUCAAAAAGAAAAAAAAAAGUGAGUGCUUAGUUUUUGAAGUAGGUACAAAGUCACUCGGGGACUCCCGAAAGGGAAACCUCUCUCCGACCACUAUCAAUGUAAGUAGUUAUGUGUCUUCUAGAUCUUAGUAGUUUCUCCCAGUUUAUGUAUAUUGAUAUUAUGUACUAUAGUACUGUUGUUAUAUAAUAUAAUGUUCAUACAUGAACUGUUUAUACCCAUAUAAUGGGUCAUUACUUACUCUUAGUAAUGGUUAGUUCCCUACCCUCUUAGUAAUGACGAUGGAUUAACCUGUAAAUACCUAGGGAGGUUGAAAGUCAGUCAUGGCCAGAGAACCGAAGGACUGUGUAUCCCGGGGUUUGGUUAAAGAAGAAGUUGCUAAGAACAUAGGCUAAGGAAAAGAGAUGAACAAAGUAAAAAAAAAAAGUAAAGUAAUUUUGGGAGAAAUUACAUAAAUUUAGUAACAACAAAUUACUAAACUAGAUAAGGGAACCGGAGGAGGGAGUACUGAGUAGGAUUUUACAGCAUAAUUCACAAACGCAUCAUUCAUCAUUUUCAACCUCACCACCCUUAUUUAAUUUGAACGACUUUUUUAUUGGGAGUAAUCAGAAGAUCAACAUCAAAGCAUAGAUCAGCAGUGUUCAUGGUAAGAAAUCAUAGUGAAAUAGUAAGGAAAAAAGCAAGAAUGGUUAUAAAUUACAAAAGACUCAAUGAUAACACCUGAAUGGACGGAUAUAAGCUAUCAGAUAAAAUAGAGCUAAUAAAUAGAAUACAAGGAAUAAAGAUUUUUAGUAAGUUCGAUUGUAAGUCCGGAUACUGGCAAGUAAAAAUGCAUGAAGAUAGUAUAGAAUGGACUGCUUUUACAUGUCCAGAAGGACAUUUCGAAUGGCUAGUAAAUGUCUUUCGGACUAAAAACGGCUGCUCCAAUUUUUCAAAGGAAAAUGGAUAAUAUUUUUAGAGAUUAUAAAAACUUUAUUCUUGUAUACGUAGACGAUAUUUUAGUAUUUAGUAACAAUACUAAAGAAUAUCUAGGUCACUUACAAACAGUCUUUAAGCUAUUUGUAGACAACGGUAUCAUAAUUAGUAGGAAAAAAAUGGAUUUGUAUAAAAACCUCAUAAAUUUUCUAGGAGUAGAAAUUGGAGACAGAAAAAUUAAAUUACAACCUCACAUAGCAAAGAAAGUCCCAGACAUGCCAGACAAAUUAGACAAAACUAAAGAUUUACAAAAAUUUCUAGGGAUUUUAAAUUAUGCAAGAAAUUUUAUAAAAGACCUAGGAAAAAUAGCAAGACCCCUAUAUUCAAAAGCAGGAACUAAUGGACAAAAGAUAUUCAACACGGAAGAUAUAAAGUUAGUGCAAAAACUCAAACAUAUGGUUAGAACCAUACCAGACUUAUCACUCCCAUUAGAAACUGACUACCCAAUAGUCGAAACGGACGGAAGUCUAGAAGGGUGUGGAUCAGUAUUUAAAACAAGAAAAAAUAAGUACAAAGACAAAAAAGAUGAAAGAAUCUGCGCCUACCAAAGCGGAAAAUAUAAAGAAAAGGGG
RNAcentral lists this long non-coding RNA (5787 nucleotides) under Solanum tuberosum (potato). Its description in RNAcentral is "long non-coding RNA (STUB_LNC007988)". Lineage: Eukaryota; Viridiplantae; Streptophyta; Magnoliopsida; Solanales; Solanaceae. The record is from RNAcentral.